RNAcentral lists this ribosomal RNA (648 nucleotides) under Triticum aestivum (bread wheat). RNAcentral describes it as "partial small subunit ribosomal RNA". Lineage: Eukaryota; Viridiplantae; Streptophyta; Magnoliopsida; Poales; Poaceae. The record is from RNAcentral.
AUGACGCUCAAUCAGAAGAAGUACGCACUGGAUCUUCUUCAUCGUGCACACAUGGAGAAUUGCAAGCCUGUGUCAACACCUAUGUCAAUACAGGACAAGUUGUCGGUUCAAACCGGCACCGCUCUCUCGGCUGAUGAUGCCUUCGCCUAUCGCAGUACCGUUGGCGGCCUUCAGUACCUCACCUUGACGCGUCCAGAUCUUUCAUUUGCUGUGAACAAGGUCUGUCAAUUCUUGGCUGCACCAACUGAUGUCCAUUGGGAAGCUGUCAAGCAAAUUCUUCGGUAUGUGAAAGGCACCGUGAACACCGGGCUGCGUAUUCGCAAGGCUUCUUCCACUUUGCUCAGCAUCUUCACGGAUGCGGACUGGGCUGGUUGUAUCGAUGACCGGCGGUCGACGGGCGGCUAUGCCAUCUUCUUUGGCCCAAACCUCAUCUCCUGGAGUGCUCGCAAACAGCCUACGGUCUCGAGGUCAUCAACUGAAGCUGAGUACAAAGCACUAGCUAAUGGUACUACUGAGGCAAUAUGGGUUCAGUCAUUGCUCAAAGAGUUGAAUAUAACUCAGCCGCGUGCACCGGUUCUGUGGUGUGACAACCUGGGUGCCACUUACUUGACUGCGAAUCCUAUUCCAUGCAAGGACCAAGCACAUUGA